This is an RNA transcript of Crotalus tigris (Tiger rattlesnake), 3835 nucleotides long. It is a transcript of the gene named shisa like 2A, with no coding region annotated. The transcript has 4 exons. The record is from RefSeq and is a predicted model, not a curated record. NCBI's taxonomy places the organism in Eukaryota, Metazoa, Chordata, Lepidosauria, Squamata, Viperidae.
GGCUUAUUUAUGAUUUAUGGAAGACUUGCUUUUAAAAGGGGGGAACUGUUGCAUGGUUAAAACCCACCAAAGAUCGGAUUUCUAAUUAAAGAACCUCCAGAUUUUGAAGCUACAGAUCUUAGGUAAGUUGUUAGGUUGCUCCUAUGCCCCAAACAGGAAUUGGCAACCGCAUCUUUCUCAGAGUGAUUUUUUUUUUUUUUUAAGCACGAAAAACAGAAAAAGCGCUUUCGGACGUCACCCCGGCUCUUUUUGAGUUUAUAAUAUAUUAUAGGCAGAAGUCGCAAGAUUGAAUCGGAGGGGCGGGGCCCUGGGCCACAGGGCGGGGCGUCGCGAAAGGCUGCAAGGAGCCUCUUCGGGAGAAUCGCUGGCGGAGGUGAAAGCAGAGCCGUCAAAGCCCCGGGCGUCGAGGCGAUUUCUCCGCUGCCUCGGCUCUGGGUUCGCUUCCAGCCGUUUCUCGUCCCCGAAAGUGGCCAAAACGAGGAAGAGCUCCGCACGAGACUCGGCCAUCCCCGGGCGGGCAGCGCACCAUGAGCGCCGAUUGCAGCAGCUACCUGAACGCCGAUAAAGUGCUGGUGGGCUCCUUCAGCUGUCCGCGGGAAGACGGCGAGGCUGAUGCGAUCUAUUGCUGCGGCUUUCAGGAUAUCAAGUAUUGUUGCGACGACCCUAACAGCUUUUUUCCUUACGAGCACAACUAUAUGUGGUGGCUCAGUAUUGGAGCGCUUAUUGGCUUGUCGGUUGCAGCAACGGUCUUGCUGGCUUUUCUCAUCACGGUGUGUGUCCUCUGUUACUUGUUUAUCAGCAAGAAGCCACGCAACAAAUUGGAUACAGGUUUAACCUUGAGCUUAGAAGCAGCAGGCAGAGAAAUUAGAAGAAAUUCUUCAAGUUGAAGGAAGAUAUACGGAACAGAACUGGUUCAACCGAGUUCUGCAAGCAGUUAGCAAAGAAGUGCAUUUGUCCAAAGGCACCAGCAAAGUAUUCCAGAAAUGAAGGCAUUCAUUUUAGACUGUGAGAAUUCAGUGCAAAAAAAGUGCCAGCGUAUGUAUGCCCAUGUGUGUUUGUGUACUCCCUUCUUGUUUUCUUGCCAUGCUAAUUGUUAGUUAUGCUCAGAGCCAACCUGAAUAUAUGCCCAGAAAUAUAAUAUACUUGUCACUAUUAAUUUAGGAUUUUAGGCCCUGAUCCUGUAAACCUGAAAAGGCCUAUAUUGUCUUAUACAGGCAAAGUUAGAAUCUUAAUCAUUUUUAAUAAUCCAGUAGUGGCUUUAAAGAAGUGAUAAAAAGAAUACUAAACAAAAUCAUCCUGUAUUACUUCUGGAUCAAAAUGUGAUGGUUUUCUUGGAUUUGUAUAUUCUGUUGUAAAAAGCUACAGAUUUGUUCCCUCACAGUUCCAAUUCUUUGUAAUAAGCAAGCCUGGUUAAUAUAGGCAACUUGUGGGGAUCCCUGCCAAUAAUGCUUCGGUGAUAAAUUAUAUUAUUAGACAGUAAUAUUAGGAUGUUAAUCAGAUUUGACUCUUUUUCACCUAGAUAUUAUUUUUUUUUUAAAAAAAAACUAAUUCUUAUUUAUUCAUUUGGUAAAGUUAAACGUAACAUGAAGUCCCGUAAAUACAAUACACAGAUACCACUACUACUACCAAAUAUCAUAUAUAACAAUAAUUACGAAAAUAAUCUUAUCUCUUUUGUCAUGUUAAUUAAAUAAAAACAAAGAGAGCUAAAAUAUUUUUUAUCAAUAAAUUUUUAUUAUCAAUAAUGAGGCAUCUGAUUGCAUCUUUUCAGACUAACAAAUAUUAUUAAAACACACAAGUACAACUUCUAAUUUUUGGCUUUGGUAGACUAACAUGGCAUUUGACUGUAAUGCCUCUUGUUAGCAAAGUAAUUAACAGAACAUAGAAUAAAAUACAAUGAAACUAUAUACAUAAACCAGUCCUUGAGAAGGAAAAGGUAAUCAAGAUGCAUAAACAAUUCUUUCUCUCAACGUUAAAUCUGUAAAGGCUCCAAAUUUAUAAUGUUCAGAUUUUUCUCUGAGAACUGUGGUAAACAAGCCCAUACUUAUUAUUUCAUAUGAGAAAGUUGCCAAAGCAAGAAUUAUUCAAAAACAGGGAUUCUCCUGGGCUCUCCAUGCAUUUUAUAUCCAGCAGGAUCUUCCGCUAGUAGUGUCUUGCUUGAUGGAUCUGCAUAAACAUUGUGGAGAUUGUUGUAUAUUUCCAAAGCCUUUUCUCCUAUGCAGUAGAUCAGCCCAGCAUUUUUAUCAUCCUUUGAUUUCCUCAGCCUUUUAUGAAUUGUAGAUAUAAUUGCAGUUUCAUUUUUCUCCUACAUUUCCUGCCAGAUUUAAUUAGAAGGGCAGCUUAAUAGGCUCCAUUUUUUUUCUUGCAACUGCUGGCUAAAGAACUGGAAACUUUUUUUCAGGUAGGCUUAAGAGAAAAAGUUCUGAUAUUUUGACCCAAUGUAAUAUUUCUUGGGCGUGAGAAAUAUCAGGGAGAAUUUGAUUGCUUUUAGAUUUUCCAGCCAACACACUGCAGGCAUCAACAGCUUCAUAACAAGUUCCUUUAUUAUUCAUUACAGUGCAGUAGAUGGAGAACAUCCAGUCUCUAAGAACUUUCAGGCAAUACUGCCUUGUUCCCAAGCACCUCAAAAUGAAAUAGGGAAAGGCUUUACGCAGACUCUGGAAAGCAAAAUAUGCAGGCUUUCUAAUCUGUCUACACACACAUACAAAAGGUUAUGCCUACCUUUAUUGCCCUGCACCUUGUUAACAAUUUAAACGUGUGACUUAAGCAUUAUUUACUAUGUUUCAGAUAUUAAACAUAUGUGACAUUAAACAUUCCACAAUAGAAGACCCCUACCCAAUCCCAUGAUAGUUUCCUGGGUCAUUUAGAGAAUAUAGUUUUUCACUUCUUCUUGACAUCCUAUUCAUGUUCUCAUAGUACCUUGUUAAAAGAUGUUGAUGACUUUUAUAAAUAUGUCCUCAUUUGUUAAGUUGAUGUGGCAGUUCAAUUUCAUUCCAGGAUAUAUUAUUUAAAACACCAAAAUAAAUUACAAGUAAACUACAGAAUUGAAGAGACUUUUAAAUUUGUUGCACAGCUCUAUACAGAAAUUCAAUUGGCAGUAAUCCACAUUUUAGUGGAAAUUGUUUAGUGUAAUGAUUAGCUGAUUUACCAGUUUACAGAUGUUUCUACUGAUUUCCAGAUGUGUUUCAAAUAUAACAUUAAUAGAUCUUCACUGGACUGUAAUUAAACCCAAUAUAGGAAAGACUAUUAUGCAGCCUUUUCCAUCAUGGCCAAUUUUAAAAUGUAGACUUAGAUUUCAACAACCUUAUUCAAAAUAUACAGAUGGAUUUACAGAAUAAAAACAAACAAAUCCAAAAACCAGUUGCCUUGCUGUUCAAAAUAAUUUUGUAUUUCAAAAGUAAUCUGACAUAGAAUUUAAUUCUACCUGGAAACCAUUUGGGGGUAAUAUCAUUAUAUGCACAAUUGCACAAUAUCUGAAAUUUGUGUUCUUAGUAAAUUGAUGCCUUUAAUUGCUCAGACAGAAAUUAAUGCAAUACUUUAUUUCACUUUAUGAUUUACACUACUAUUUCUGUUGAUAUUCAUGUAUUACUUUAUUUUAACAGUGAUUUUGUAGUUGUACAUUCAAUAACAAAAUGGCUAAUCAAAUCAAUGAAAUGUCAACAUUUUAAUUAAUAUUUAAUAUAAACUAAUCCUGAUCCUGAUUAUCCACAUUGUGCUUUUUUUACUUUCUUUUUAAAAAUCUCUUUCCCCAUUUUUGUGCCUUUUUUAUUUUCCUUAACUACUUGAUAAAAAUACAAUUAUAAAAAACUUGCUUGGUUGCCUAUCAUUGUUCUGUAAA